Molecule: long non-coding RNA, 751 nt
Organism: Macrobrachium nipponense
Lineage: Eukaryota; Metazoa; Arthropoda; Malacostraca; Decapoda; Palaemonidae
Exons: 4
Source: RefSeq, a predicted model, not a curated record
UCCAGGCUGUAAUGGCAAGCCGUGUUAUUCGCGCCUGCGCAGUACCCGAAAAUUCAAGAUGGAUAAAGACCUAUUAAAACCGUCACGGAGAGCGCUUGACAUUAAACUGACAUCUCCCAGAGUAAAGGUGUCAGUUUUGAUCUCUCUCCAUCUGCAGAGGAAUCUACAGCUUCCACAACCUUUCAACUGAAGAUCACUCCAGUGUCCACUGCAACAUCCAACAUGAAGAAUAUUCUGGGACUCCUACUUCUCGGCCUGCUCUUUGUAGCUCUCCAGAAGGAGUAAAACCUGGCAAGGCAACCUGCAAGAGUCUAGGAGGUUACUGUUUUCGAAUGAGUGGACGACGCAACUGCACUGGCCGAGUAGAAGAUUCUGCGACUUGUAAGGUCGCCGGACGCAAAUGCUGUAUUCCUACUGUUACUACUUUUACUACUUUUGCUGAAUAUUAAGAAGAACACUGAGACCAUAUUCAUCCUGAUUGCCUGCUGAUGACUAUCAAUUACAACGAAGAAGCUUCCGCGGGUGCAGUUCUUCACUUUCACUGCUGUCCAUCGGUUCCUUUUGCCUAAAAUAAAUAAUGCCUUAUUUCAUAUCCUUCUUUACUUUCCUUAGUUUGUCACACAGUAGUUUUCAUUUCUGAAACGCCAUAGGACUUAGAAAUAACUCCUGGGUCUAAAUCAACAUUUGUAAAUGCUACUGCAAGAUGUUAUUGUAACUGGUCUCAAAAUAAAUUUGGUUUUCACUUCAACAA